Long non-coding RNA from Dermochelys coriacea (leatherback sea turtle), 175 nucleotides. RefSeq lists it as uncharacterized. NCBI's taxonomy places the organism in Eukaryota, Metazoa, Chordata, Testudines, Dermochelyidae. The record is from RefSeq and is a predicted model, not a curated record. The transcript has 3 exons.
UUCUGGCAAACAGAGGCUAAAGACACCGUCCCUGCCAUCCUGGCUAAUAGCCAUUGAUGGACCUAUGCUCCAUGAAUUUAUCUAGUUCUUUUUCUAACCCGGUUAUAGUCUUGGCUUUCACAACAACCUCUGGCGAAGAGUUCCAUAGACUGACUGUGUGUUGUGUGGAAUAAAU